Long non-coding RNA from Hordeum vulgare subsp. vulgare (domesticated barley), 520 nucleotides. RefSeq lists it as uncharacterized. The transcript has 2 exons. NCBI's taxonomy places the organism in Eukaryota, Viridiplantae, Streptophyta, Magnoliopsida, Poales, Poaceae. The record is from RefSeq and is a predicted model, not a curated record.
UUCAUGGUCAUACACUCAACAACCCACUUACAAGAGUACCACCCAUUAAUAUAUAGCAUCUGUUCCUUGGUGAUGAUGACUAAGUACAUGAGGAACAAUAUGCAAGGACUUGUGCUACUUUCUCUUCUUGUUGUGGUGUGUUUGACUUGUCCUGGAGGCACAUAUGGUGAAAUCAUAAACGACAAGCGGAGAAAAAUGAUGAGAAAAGUAAGCCAUGUAACCAGACCCCCUUGUUAUAAAGAUGGGCACCAGCUCCCGGGGCGAGAAUUUUGUUGUGAAAUAGAUAACUUGUGCUGGCCGAAUCUCGGAGAAUGCUUCAUCAAUUGUCCCUGCAAGAUUAAUUGCACACUAGCAGCAACAACAACACAAUAGUUUUGUCAUCUCCCCAUUUUGGGUGGAUAAAUAUCAACCUUAUGGUUCUCAAAAUAAUGAUGUGUUGAUAAGAUCCUAAUUUUUUUAUGUUCUAGAAAUCAGUUGUGUUAUUUUAAUAUUCAAUAAAACUAGUGGGUUGCUUGCACAA